Molecule: ribosomal RNA, 770 nt
Filed under: uncultured Alphaproteobacteria bacterium
Lineage: Bacteria; Pseudomonadati; Pseudomonadota; Alphaproteobacteria
Description: bacterial SSU rRNA
Rfam family: Bacterial small subunit ribosomal RNA
Source: RNAcentral
ACGGUUUCUGACACUAAGACACGAAAGCGUGGGGAGCAAACAGGAUUAGAUCCCCUGGUAGUCCACGCCGUAAACGAUGGCUGCUAGACGUUGGCGGGCUCGCUCGUCAGUGUCGCAGAUAACGCGUUAAGCACCCCUCCUGGGGAGUACGGCCGCAAGGUUGAAACUCUAAGGAAUUGAGGGGGGGCCGCACAAGCGGUGGAGCAUGUGGUUCAAUUCGAGGUAACGCGCAGAACCUUACCAGCCCUUGACAUAUGAAUCGCCGGCUCCGGAGAAGGAGCCUUCGGUUGGGCCGGAGUCAACACAGGUGAUGCAUGGCUGUCGUCAGCUCGUGUCGUGAGAUGUUGGGUUAAGUCCCGCAACGAGCGCAACCUUCGUCUCCAGUUGCCAUCAGGUAAAGCUGGGCAUCUUUGGAGAAACUGCGGGUGACAAGCGGGAGGAAGGUGGGGAGGACGUCAAGUCCUCAUGACCCUUACGGGGUGGGCUACACACGUGAUACAAUGGCGGUGACAGUGGGAUGCGAAGGGGCGACCCGGAGCCGAUCCUGAAAAGCCGUAUUAGUUCGGAUUGCACUCUGCAACUCGAGUGCAUGAAGGUGGAAUCGGUAGUAAUCGAGGAUCAGCAUGCGUCGGUGAACACGUUCCGGGGCUUUGUACACACCGCCUGUCACGCCAUGGGAGUUGGUUCUACCCGAAGAUGGUGCGCUAACCGCAAGGAGGCAGCCAGCCACGGUAGGAUCAAUGAUUGGGGCGAAGUCGUAACAAGGUAUC